Molecule: ribosomal RNA, 497 nt
Filed under: uncultured bacterium
Lineage: Bacteria
Description: partial 16S ribosomal RNA
Rfam family: Bacterial small subunit ribosomal RNA
Source: RNAcentral
GACGAACGCUGGCGGCGUGCCUAAUACAUGCAAGUUGAGCGAUGAAGAUUGGUUCUUGCACCAAUUUGAAGAGCAGCGAACGGGUGAGUAACGCGUGUGGAAUCUGCCUUUGAGCGGGGGACAACAUUUGGAAACGAAUGCUAAUACCGCAUAAUAACUUUAAACAUAAGUUUUAAGUUUGAAAGAUGCAAUUGCAUCACUCAAAGAUGAUCCCGCGUUGUAUUAGCUAGUUGGUGAGGUAAAGGCUCACCAAGGCGAUGAUACAUAGCCGACCUGAGAGGGUGAGCGGCCACAUUGGGACGGAGACACGGCCCAAACGCCUACGGGAGGCAGCAGUAGGGAAUCUUCGGCCAUGGACGAAAGUCUGACCGAGCAACGCCGCGUGAGUGAAGAAGGUUUUCGGAUCGUAAAACUCUGUUGGUAGAGAAGAACGUUGGUGAGAGUGGAAAGCUCAUCAAGUGACGGUAACUACCCAGAAAGGGACGGCUAACUACGUG